CGGUUUGUCGCGUCUGCUGUGAAAUCUGGGGGCUCAACCCCCAGCCUGCAGUGGGUACGGGCAGACUAGAGUGCGGUAGGGGAGAUUGGAAUUCCUGGUGUAGCGGUGGAAUGCGCAGAUAUCAGGAGGAACACCGAUGGCGAAGGCAGAUCUCUGGGCCGUAACUGACGCUGAGGAGCGAAAGGGUGGGGAGCAAACAGGCUUAGAUACCCUGGUAGUCCACCCCGUAAACGUUGGGAACUAGUUGUGGGGUCCAUUCCACGGAUUCCGUGACGCAGCUAACGCAUUAAGUUCCCCGCCUGGGGAGUACGGCCGCAAGGCUAAAACUCAAAGGAAUUGACGGGGACCCGCACAAGCGGCGGAGCAUGCGGAUUAAUUCGAUGCAACGCGAAGAACCUUACCAAGGCUUGACAUACACGAGAACGCUGCAGAAAUGUAGAACUCUUUGGACACUCGUGAACAGGUGGUGCAUGGUUGUCGUCAGCUCGUGUCGUGAGAUGUUGGGUUAAGUCCCGCAACGGGCGCAAACCCUCGUUCUAUGUUGCCAGCACGUAAUGGUGGGAACUCAUGGGAUACUGCCGGGGUCAACU
RNAcentral lists this ribosomal RNA (590 nucleotides) under uncultured bacterium. RNAcentral's name for it is "bacterial SSU rRNA". It matches the Rfam family "Bacterial small subunit ribosomal RNA", at positions 576 to 1163 of the family's 1533-position model. The record is from RNAcentral.